AUACGGAGGAUGCAAGCGUUAUCCGGAUUUAUUGGGUUUAAAGGGUGCGUAGGCUGUUCGGAAAGUCAGGGGUGAAAGCCCGGCGCCUAACGCCGGAACUGCCUUUGAUACUUCCGAGCUGGAAUACGGAUGCCGUGGGAGGAAUGAGUAGUGUAGCGGUGAAAUGCAUAGAUAUUACUCAGAACACCGAUUGCGAAGGCAUCUCACGAAUCCGUCAUUGACGCUGAGGCACGAAAGCGUGGGGAUCAAACAGGAGUAGAUACCCUGGUAGUCCACGCAGUAAACGAUGAUGACUAACCGUCGGCGAUACACAGUCGGUGGCCAAGCGAAAGCGAUAAGUCAUCCACCUGGGGAGUACGUUCGCAAGAAUGAAACUCAAAUGAAUUGGCGGGG
This 393-nucleotide ribosomal RNA is filed under the name uncultured bacterium. RNAcentral's name for it is "partial 16S ribosomal RNA". It matches the Rfam family "Bacterial small subunit ribosomal RNA", at positions 523 to 918 of the family's 1533-position model. The record is from RNAcentral.